UUCCUCUCAAUAUCUCCUCCCUCCCGACACACCUCCCAUCCUCGCCCCUCCCAUUCCCUCCUCUCCCGCCGCCGAAUCCCCCUCCCCAUCCUAUCCCGUCCUCCACCACGGCCUCCCCUCCCCCACCCCUGCGGCCGUCUUCCCUGCACGGGCAGAGCAACUCAGCUCGUGUGGCACGGCGCAGGAGCAGGCGCAGUGGACUAGCAUGGGGCGGGCUUCACAGAGUGCGGCCAAGCGGCUCGACAUGGGGUUGCCGGCCCUCCCCCGCCGCCACUCCCCCACCCGUCGCCCCUCCCUCCCGCUCCAGGCUCACAUAAAUCAGGCUCACACAAAUCCGAUGAUGGUGCUGGUCCGUAUUUUUUUUUGUGCUAGAGAAUGAGGCCUGAAGAUUUAUUUUUAUAUAAAUGUUUAGAUGGGUAAAAAUUGUUUUUGUAUAAAUAAGGCUUGAGACCCUUUCUGAUUCAUUUUUGUUGGCAACUUUCGCUGAAUCAUGAAGCAAUUUAUUUCGUUUUA
Molecule: long non-coding RNA, 513 nt
Organism: Panicum virgatum (switchgrass)
Lineage: Eukaryota; Viridiplantae; Streptophyta; Magnoliopsida; Poales; Poaceae
Exons: 2
Source: RefSeq, a predicted model, not a curated record